UUACCUUUCCCCUUCCCUUUCCGUAGUAGUAGGACCGGUACCGUUUAAGUCCGACCUUAAAUUUUUAAGGUUUUGGGUUUGUUCGGGGAACGGGUUUAAGGUACGAGUUAGUUUACUUAGAAAAAUUAGAGUGUUUAAAGCAAGCUAACGCUUGAAUACAUUAGCAUGGAAUAAUGAAAUAGGACGUUCGAUCCUAUUUUGUUGGUUUCUAGGAUUGACGUAAUGAUUAAUAGGGAUAGUUGGGGGCAUUAGUAUUCAAUUGUCAGAGGUGAAAUUCUUGGAUUUAUUGAAGACUAACUACUGCGAAAGCAUUUGCCAAGGAUGUUUUCAUUAAUCAAGAACGAAAGUUAGGGGAUCGAAGACGAUCAGAUACCGUCGUAGUCUUAACCAUAAACUAUGCCGACUAGGGAUCGGAUGAUGUUAAUUUUUAAUGACUC
This 437-nucleotide ribosomal RNA is filed under the name fungal sp. Its description in RNAcentral is "SSU rRNA". It matches the Rfam family "Eukaryotic small subunit ribosomal RNA", at positions 640 to 1077 of the family's 1831-position model. Lineage: Eukaryota; Fungi. The record is from RNAcentral.